AACAAAUAAACAAAAUAACAAUUUUUUUAGAAGGAAAGAAACAAGGGGAAAUUUGAGACUAUGCCAUGUUGAAUUGCAAAAAAGAAAAAAGAAUGAAAAAAGCAAGUUGCUAUCAAGUAUGAAUAUAGCAAAAGGGUGCCUCGUUUUACAUGAAGAAAAAGAAGGCACCCAAAUAAGAAAAACAGUGGUGGCAGAGUUAACGUCAGUCCAACUAUCAAAGGGGUCCACAAGUAAAUGCA
This 239-nucleotide long non-coding RNA is filed under the name Prunus persica (peach). Its description in RNAcentral is "long non-coding RNA (PPER_LNC007313)". The record is from RNAcentral. Lineage: Eukaryota; Viridiplantae; Streptophyta; Magnoliopsida; Rosales; Rosaceae.